Long non-coding RNA from Eucalyptus grandis, 225 nucleotides. RefSeq lists it as uncharacterized. The record is from RefSeq and is a predicted model, not a curated record. The transcript has 3 exons. NCBI's taxonomy places the organism in Eukaryota, Viridiplantae, Streptophyta, Magnoliopsida, Myrtales, Myrtaceae.
UGGAGUUUGCUGUCUGAAAGUGGCAUUAUUUCGUUGGCGCCAGAUCUCCCAUAGAAUAUUAGCAAUCUCUUCAAAGCUGGGGGAAGAAAGACAAUGGGUUGCACGGGUCACCAACCAGGCAUCCAAUCUCCGGAUUGAGAGAGAAAGGGGGAGCAUAAAUAGAGACAUUGCAUACUGAGGAUCCAAGAAAACAUCUCCCGUUUAGACGCCCCAACUGAUGGAAUG